UACGUAGGGUGCAAGCGUUAUCCGGAAUUAUUGGGCGUAAAGCGUCCGCAGGUGGCCUAUCAAGUCUGCUGUCAAAGACCGGGGCUUAACCCCAGAAAGGCAGUGGAAACUGAAAGGCUAGAGGAUGGUAGGGGCAGAGGGAAUUCCCAGUGUAGCGGUGAAAUGCGUAGAGAUUGGGAAGAACACCGGUGGCGAAAGCGCUCUGCUGGGCCAUAACUGACACUCAGGGACGAAAGCUAGGGGAGCGAAUGGG
Molecule: ribosomal RNA, 253 nt
Filed under: uncultured bacterium
Lineage: Bacteria
Description: partial 16S ribosomal RNA
Rfam family: Bacterial small subunit ribosomal RNA
Source: RNAcentral